RNAcentral lists this ribosomal RNA (482 nucleotides) under uncultured Marmoricola sp. RNAcentral's name for it is "bacterial SSU rRNA". It matches the Rfam family "Bacterial small subunit ribosomal RNA", at positions 8 to 507 of the family's 1533-position model. Lineage: Bacteria; Bacillati; Actinomycetota; Actinomycetes; Propionibacteriales; Nocardioidaceae. The record is from RNAcentral.
AGAGUUUGAUCCUGGCUCAGGACGAACGCUGGCGGCGUGCUUAACACAUGCAAGUCGAGCGGUAUGGCCCUUCGGGGUACACGAGCGGCGAACGGGUGAGUAACACGUGAGCAAUCUGCCCUGCACUUUGGGAUAACCUCCGGAAACGGUGGCUAAUACCGAAUAUGACUACAUGCUGCAUGGUGUGUGGUGGAAAGUUCUGGCGGUGCAGGAUGAGCUCGCGGCCUAUCAGCUUGUUGGUGAGGUAAUGGCUCACCAAGGCUUCGACGGGUAGCCGGCCUGAGAGGAUGACCGGCCACACUGGGACUGAGACACGGCCCAGACUCCUACGGGAGGCAGCAGUGGGGAAUAUUGGACAAUGGGCGAAAGCCUGAUCCAGCAACGCCGCGUGAGGGAUGACGGCCUUCGGGUUGUAAACCUCUUUCAGCGCAGACGAAGCGAAAGUGACGGUAUGCGCAGAAGAAGCACCGGCCAACUACGUG